Molecule: long non-coding RNA, 3924 nt
Organism: Oncorhynchus kisutch (coho salmon)
Lineage: Eukaryota; Metazoa; Chordata; Actinopteri; Salmoniformes; Salmonidae
Source: Ensembl
AUGAUUAUAGAAACAUUAGUUUAUGUCAAUAUGGACACAGAUCCUUCAAAGCGUUGGAAUGCUCUUUUUGACAGCUUCAAACCCCAUAUUCCGUCCAUUGAUUCGGAUUCUUCAUCGUCUGAAAAUGAAGAAGACAUUUCCAUCUUUCGGCGACCAGUAGCCCUUCUUCCUAAACACACAGAGUGCCUAGAGUGUCUGUCAUUGGAGGACUCUGAAAUAGAGGAGCUUCUAAUAUCUAUGGCACAGCCACAACUGUGUUUGACAGAGAAGACCAUUUGCCCUCAUAGAGAGCCUACAACUGAACCCCAUGGAGUUUAUCAAGCUACUGAUUUAGCCCAGCAGGGCACACUCCAGGAGCUCAGUCCCAUAGGUAAUAAGGUAAAUGAGAUAUGCAGCCAUGACUCUAUUAGAAAUGCAGCUUGGGCAGGAGGCCAUCCACGCAGCAACGUUCCUGUGGAGAUGAAAGGGGACACCUCGGCGCACCACAGCCAUGGCACACUAAACAGACAAAAAACAACUGAGUCCACAUCGCCACACACUUCACACAACACAGCUUGUGAAGAAAACACAUUGGAGUCACUCAAUGCUUUGAGAAAGACACCGAGAACUGAACCAAAUGGCUCUAUGAAAAAGCCACUACAAAGUAGUCAAACUGUUUUGUCUUUUGAGCCACUGGAGCACUGGGAUCUGGACCAGAUUCUUCUGACUCUUCAAACAGAUAGACUCUUUUUAGGAGGCAGUAUGUCUGACGAACCUAUGGAAAUACAACCAGAUGGAGACAAUGUAAGGUCACAGGAUACUAUAUUGGAGAGGCUGUCUGCUUUCUGUAGGACACCGUCAUGUGGAGAUGCUGAAGAGAAAAGAGAAACUGCGCCAGAUAAAACUUCUGGUGUGCCUCAGAAAGCACCUGUCCAACAUCCUACCAAUUUCAGACAAAAUGGUGGAUGGAGAAAGUCUUUCAAAAGGAUGGCAUUUGAGUUGCAGCCAAGCCGCCAGGAAGCGCCCACCGUUUAUAUUGAUUUACGUAACCCUGAGCCUCCCACGAACACAACCAGACCAUGUAACAGCACUUCAUCACAAUCCAUGAAGCUGACCAACCCCAACCUACAUGACGAAAACCAAUCUGAUAAGAAAACAGACAAUAAUAUACGGGAAGUAACUGGAAAGAGCCUGUUACUCAGAAUGUUACGCGAGGCGAACAGAAACAGGAGAGAGCCGGACAGGAAAUAUCCAGUUCCAGCAGAUUCUACAUGCAGAACCCCCAGAAGAGUGUCCUUGAAGGACAAGCUGCCUGAGGCUAAAAAUGAGAUAACAUCUCUGCUUCCAGAGGUGGACAACCAAACCACAAUGAAGCGUGACCAAAACAGGCCGCCAGUUGAGAGAACACCUGCUUUUCAGCAGAGUGCUACUACCGGGCAGCCUAAGAAACAAAGUGACCGAGAGCAGAGAGAGCAACAGAAACAGAGAGCACAGCGCCAGCAACAGCUCCAGAAACAGCUGGAAAGCUUUAGACCAACAAGGUCUGCUGGAGACAGGGAGCCUGCCGCUGAGAAGACUGAUGUUCUUUAUGACACUGAGGCCUCUCACCUACAAUCAGUUAAUACUCUGCCUGCUGAUAUGGAGGAUAAGGAGUGCUUGCUGCUGACUGUAUGCCUCUCCAGUCCCGGCCUGGUAGCCAGCAGCAGUCAUCAUUGGAAAGCACCAACAGUGGAGUCAGCCACAACCAAAUCCCAUAUAUACAAUGCUCUGGUUGCUUGGUUUCUGUCUUUGGUUGGAGCACCAGACCCUCAAGGGGGUGAUGACAGGGCUGCUGUACCUUUCUGGGUGGCCGGCCUACAGCAGCUGUGGACAGAGGAUGGACUGGCUCUACACAUCUGUGCUGUGUCCCACGGAGAGAGCCUACAACUUGUCCGAAAACCCCGGGUGGGUGUGGAUAAGGGUCAUAGUGUGUUCCAGCAGCGUGUCUGCAGGUUCCUCUCUCAGACCUCCCUUAGAGCCAUCACCCAUUGGCUGCCGCAGCUCAGGAGCCUGUUAGACCAAGAGGCCUAUCCCCCAACCGUCCACAUACCUGCCUCCUGCCUGGACAGUUUUAUCUCUGUCAACUCAGACAAAAUGGCUGUGAAGAGGACCUUCGGUCUGAACCCAGGCUUCUACUGGCAGACUGUGGAGACUCAGGAGCUCAGCUGUCAGAGGCCUGAGACCAUGUGCACUCAGCAGCUACACACAGAGCUAGCUGUUGCUCUGGGAUACACGUCUUUGUUCCUGCAUCCCCUGGUGGUUCACCACACCCUCCAGCUUCUCCACACCUCAGGCCUGGAUGUGUGUGGCCUCCGCCUCCUUUACCCUCCUCCUGGCCUUCUGACCAACAGCGCCGGCAGGGUAUCCUACGGGCAGGGAGAUGAUGGGGCCGAUGAGCCCGUCCUUGCCCUGGCUGUCCGAGGGCCUCACGCCUGCACUGUGUGGCAGGAUGUAACAGGCCCUUCAGACCCCCUGCUGGCUAGGAAGACAGACCCGGCAUCCAUCAACGCCCUGCACUACAGCAGCAAGAACUUGCCCCUCCUCUACUCCCCUCGCCUGGCCAGCAGUGUGCACAGGGAACUGGUCACGUGGUUCGCAGGGAGAGUUCCAGGGAAUCAUUUCCAGAACCCUGACCAGGCUCCAACUGACAGCUCUGCCCCUGGUGAUGGAGAGGGAAGCAGCCCCUUGUAUUUAUCCAGGUCCUCUACCACCCUGUGUGCUACUGUUAAAGUGGACGUGUUCUUGAUAGUGUCUCCAGCGGUGGCGCCGUGCUGCUACAGCCGGGUUCUGUCUGUGUGUGAGGGCAGAGGGUUCAGUCUGAGGGGGGUCCAGAGGCUGCAGCUCCCCACCAAACGAACCCAGGCACUGGGACUCACCAGUCAGCAGGUGUCAGUGUUCUGCAGUCCGCCCACUGUUACUGUGGAUGAGAAGAAGGUUGAGCUGUCUUCCCACUGCCUGGUCUUACUUCUGAGGAGAGAGAGUGGCCUGCGUCACUGUGCCAGCCUGCCUGCAGCCCUUAUGAAAGAGUUGGAGAAGCAGAGGUUGUUGGGAUGUAUCCACAUCAGACUGUCAGAUGAAGGAAAGCUGGACCCGAGCAGCUGCUUUCACAUGUUGCCCUACAGAGAGAGCCUGCUCCAUAGCUUUGGUGGGCGAAUGUGGGCCGUACCCAACCCCUGCAAUGUGGUGCUGUCCAAUCACAGGUGUCCAUCCAACCCAGAGCUGGAGCAGGUGGUGGUGCUUACGCUGGCUGGAAGGGACAUCAGUCAGGGCCUGAGCCUGCUACACAGGCUCUGGACAGGGGACACAACAGGCGAUGUCGUGGAGGAUGGAUUCGAGCUGCUGGCCCUGAAGUGGCUGCCCACAUUGUCCCCGCAGCAGGCGCGGGAGGUGAGCCCCUAUGAGGUAGGAGACCGGCUGUGGCAGAGCAGCCUGGUGGGCCUGGCCUCCUCCCCUGCCCUGGUGUGUGCUCUGAGGAGGGUAGACGCCUUCGCCACCCUACGGCGGCUCCUGCCACGGGACUACCCCGGGAACCUGAACAUACUGUUGUCUCCCACUCCUGAACUGGCCUUCAGACAAGCGUCCCUCUUCUUCUCCCUGGGAGACAUGAUCCCUGAUCACAGUGUGCGCCCAUUACUGAAGUUCCUACCUCCACCUCGCAUUAAUGUAGCUGGUUCCCAGUGUGAGUCAUUGUUUAACUACAUGGUGCAGGGUCCCCAGCCGCUGGUCACACUGUGUCUGUUCAAGCCUGGAGUGUGGAGCCAUGCUCUGGGGAAAAUCCUCAGCAAAGUCCAGCGGAGUGGCUUCACUGUGGUGGGCCUGCAUGUGCUGGUUCUGGACAAUAGCACAGCUGUGUCACUGGCGUCUGCUGCAGAGCAUCAGGCAACUCACAUAUUCCUACCUACCUAA